UGCAAGUCGAGCGAGGCCCUCCUUCGGGGGGUGCCCUAGCGGCGAACGGGUGAGUAACACGUGGGCAACCUGCCCUCAGCUCUGGGAUAACUCCAAGAAAUUGGUGCUAAUACCGGAUGUGACCGCUGACCGCAUGGUCUGGUGGUGGAAAGAUUCAUCGGCUGAGGAUGGGCCCGCGGCCUAUCAGCUUGUUGGUGGGGUAAUGGCCCACCAAGGCGACGACGGGUAGCCGGCCUGAGAGGGUGACCGGCCACACUGGGACUGAGACACGGCCCAGACUCCUACGGGAGGCAGCAGUGGGGAAUAUUGCGCAAUGGGCGAAAGCCUGACGCAGCGACGCCGCGUGAGGGAUGACGGCCUUCGGGUUGUAAACCUCUUUCAGUAGGGACGAAGCGCAAGUGACGGUACCUACAGAAGAAGCACCGGCCAACUACGUGCCAGCAGCCGCGGUAAUACGUAGGGUGCAAGCGUUGUCCGGAAUUAUUGGGCGUAAAGAGCUCGUAGGCGGUCUGUCACGUCGGCUGUGAAAACCCGAGGCUCAACCUCGGGCCUGCAGUCGAUACGGGCAAACUAGAGUACUGCAGGGGAGACUGGAAUUCCUGGUGUAGCGGUGAAAUGCGCAGAUAUCAGGAGGAACACCGGUGGCGAAGGCGGGUCUCUGGGCAGUAACUGACGC
This 676-nucleotide ribosomal RNA is filed under the name Modestobacter sp. UAPS01113. Its description in RNAcentral is "bacterial SSU rRNA". It matches the Rfam family "Bacterial small subunit ribosomal RNA", at positions 56 to 746 of the family's 1533-position model. Lineage: Bacteria; Bacillati; Actinomycetota; Actinomycetes; Geodermatophilales; Geodermatophilaceae. The record is from RNAcentral.